This 377-nucleotide ribosomal RNA is filed under the name uncultured eukaryote. RNAcentral's name for it is "partial 18S ribosomal RNA". It matches the Rfam family "Eukaryotic small subunit ribosomal RNA", at positions 592 to 976 of the family's 1831-position model. The record is from RNAcentral.
CAAUAGCGUAUAUUUAAGUUGCUGCAGUUAAAAAGCUCGUAGUUGGAUUUCGGGUGGGAAUGGCCGGUCCGCCGUUUCGGUGUGCACUUGCUACGCCCACCUUGCUGCCGGGGACGUGCUCUUGAGUUCACGCUCGGGACACGGAGUCGGCGAGGUUACUUUGAGUAAAUUAGAGUGUUCAAAGCAGGCCUACGCUCUGAAUACAUUAGCAUGGAAUAACACGAUAGGACUCUGGCCUAUCUUGUUGGUCUGUAGGACCGGAGUAAUGAUUAAGAGGGACAGUCGGGGGCAUUCGUAUUUCAUUGUCAGAGGUGAAAUUCUUGGAUUUAUGAAAGACGAACUACUGCGAAAGCAUUUGCCAAGGAUGUUUUCAAUAA